Paramuricea clavata is the source of this 249-nucleotide non-coding RNA. Lineage: Eukaryota; Metazoa; Cnidaria; Anthozoa; Malacalcyonacea; Plexauridae. The record is from the annotation of a GenBank genome assembly.
GACGUCGAAUAUCGACGUUAUAAACACCAAUGUUGAUCGUGUUUAUGACGUCGAAUAUCGACGUCAUAAACACCAAAGUUGAUCGUGUUUAUGACGUCGAAUAUCGACGUCAUAAACACCAAAGUUGAUCGUGUUUAUGACGUCGAAUAUCGACGUUAUAAACACCAAAGUUGAUCGUGUUUAUGACGUCGAAUAUCGACGUCAUAAACACAAAAGUUGUUCGUGUUUAUGACGUCGAAUAUCGACGUC